AGACGUCUACGUCGGGAGUCCGGUCCGAACGCAACCUCUGGUCCCGAAGGUCGCAGUUCCGGUCUCAGGAGGGAUCUCUGCAAAGGCGUUCGCUCUGGAGUAAAACGUGAAGUGGGUCUUUUUCGUGGUUACGCUGCGGCCAGAUGUCGAUCCGGGAUACUUCAUGGUAAUGGCGUCUUCUGCGGUUGUU
Molecule: ribosomal RNA, 190 nt
Filed under: Paramecium jenningsi
Lineage: Eukaryota; Ciliophora; Oligohymenophorea; Peniculida; Parameciidae
Description: partial 23S ribosomal RNA
Source: RNAcentral